UUCUAAGUUGUUUUGUCUUUUGUCCAAUUGGUUUCUGUAAUUUUUGUCUUUUCUUCGUUCAGUGUGUAAUAAUAAGUUGUUUUGUCUUUUGUUAAUUUGUUUCUUUUGACGUUGUGCUGUUUUGCUCUUCCAGGCCACCGUAGGGUUUUGAUGAAUGGUAAAUAAAAAAUGUGUUUAGAAUUGUACCUUUUCUCAUAAAGGUAUAGCGGGAAUGGUCAAAAACUGGCUCUGGAAUGAAACUGUAGUUGACCAUCGGGUUCGUCCUCAUGUUCUUGAAGGACGUCAGCUCCACAAUACGACUGAUGACAUCGUCAGAAAGCGACAAGUCCAGUAGCCUUUGACAUGAUCAUACCAGGAGCCCCAUGGCACUGCAGGAACAACAGCCAGGUCAUUUCGACAAUCUAAUAUUGGACGUUCCUGAUGCUCAAACCUAUAUCUAUUGGGGAAAAUGUACAGCCCUUUGGAAUGAGAUGAAACUGCAAAUGUGUCUUAAUGACUCUUGGAGGGUCCAUUGUCGCCAGCAGGUCAAGACCUGAGGAUUUACAGCAAGUAAUGGGCGGCACGGCAGUGCGGCUGGAUCAAAAGAGAUGUCGGAAACGCUUUACUGAACCAAAAAGUUGCUUUAUUACGAGCGAGCGUCAUUAUACAGGACUGCAGUUCCUGGAGGAGGUCAGGUCAAGAAACUGAGGCACUUCUAACUUGGAGAAGCCAAACCAUCAGUUUUUAUAUUCCAUCUUCCUGUCUCUGUGUGUGUGUGUGCAAAGUCAGGAGAGCGCAUCCUGACCAUAAAAGGAAAAGUUUG
Molecule: long non-coding RNA, 802 nt
Organism: Nerophis ophidion (straightnose pipefish)
Lineage: Eukaryota; Metazoa; Chordata; Actinopteri; Syngnathiformes; Syngnathidae
Exons: 4
Source: RefSeq, a predicted model, not a curated record